RNAcentral lists this ribosomal RNA (460 nucleotides) under uncultured bacterium. RNAcentral's name for it is "partial 16S ribosomal RNA". It matches the Rfam family "Bacterial small subunit ribosomal RNA", at positions 338 to 795 of the family's 1533-position model. The record is from RNAcentral.
CCUACGGGGCGCAGCAGUGAGGAAUAUUGGUCAAUGGACGAGAGUCUGAACCAGCCAAGUAGCGUGAAGGAUGACUGCCCUAUGGGUUGUAAACUUCUUUUAUAUGGGAAUAAAAUGUUCCACGUGUGGGAUUUUGUAUGUACCAUAUGAAUAAGGAUCGGCUACCUCCGUGCCAGCAGCCGCGGUAAUACGGAGGAUCCGAGCGUUAUCCGGAUUUAUUGGGUUUAAAGGGAGCGUAGGUGGAUUGUUAAGUCAGUUGUGAAAGUUUGCGGCUCAACCGUAAAAUUGCAGUUGAAACUGGCAGUCUUGAGUACAGUAGAGGUGGGCGGAAUUCGUGGUGUAGCGGUGAAAUGCUUAGAUAUCACGAAGAACUCCGAUUGCGAAGGCAGUUCACUGGACUGCAACUGACACUGAGGCUCGAAAGUGUGGGUAUCAAACAGGAUUAGAUACCCGAGUAGUC